GCAAUAGCCGUCAUUUCAACGUCUCGUUUCAGUAUAGACCCGAUAUAGCCGGGCUGUGCCUAGCCCACUUCUAGCCCAAUUAAACUUUAAUUUGGUUACAUGUGGUUUUUGACAAAAUAAUUUGUGAGAUGGAUGCUAUUUUAUCAUGUAAGCAAAGUUAACAGCGAUUACAAGAUAAACAAAAUCCAGUUACAACUCCGAACCGCUAGAUGGCAGCAGUACACAAACACGGGGCCAAAUCUCACGAGAAAGAUUUCCGCUGUUUGAAAAGCAACAACAUCAGCGAGCAGCCACGAGGAAAGCAUGUACCACACUUGUUUGGUCUUGUGUCAAAGCUCUGCGAAACUGGAGGGAGAAACUUGAGAGACCGUGCCGGAAGAAUGCUGGACAGAGUUCACUAAAAUUCAUUAAUUUCAAAGUUCAACAUUAAUGGUGGUGGUCCACUGCAGAAGCAAGCAUUUGAAAAAACAUCACUUCUCAGUUAUUAAAGAUGCUGUGUUGAACAACUUCCCAGCAGCAACAGAACUGGAAGUGAAGGAUGCAAUGGGGGCAUUUCAAACAGGCACCAGGGAGCACGGGGGGGGGGGGGGGGGGUAUAGAAAUUAGUACAAUUAAUAAGUUGACGUGAACUGAAGAUAGUUUGUUAAUGUUUAGAUGUAAUUUCAUUUUUAAAAUUGUAUUUUGUUAUAUAUGCUUUUAUUUUGUUACUGUUUUUAUUCUUUUUGUUAAAAGUAGUU
This is a long non-coding RNA of Paramisgurnus dabryanus, 737 nucleotides long. RefSeq lists it as uncharacterized. The record is from RefSeq and is a predicted model, not a curated record. Lineage: Eukaryota; Metazoa; Chordata; Actinopteri; Cypriniformes; Cobitidae.